This 496-nucleotide ribosomal RNA is filed under the name uncultured bacterium. RNAcentral describes it as "partial 16S ribosomal RNA". It matches the Rfam family "Bacterial small subunit ribosomal RNA", at positions 355 to 867 of the family's 1533-position model. The record is from RNAcentral.
UGGGGAAUAUUGGACAAUGGGCGCAAGCCUGAUCCAGCCAUGCCGCGUGAGUGAUGAAGGCCUUAGGGUUGUAAAGCUCUUUCGCCGGUGAAGAUAAUGACGGUAACCGGAGAAGAAGCCCCGGCUAACUUCGUGCCAGCAGCCGCGGUAAUACGAAGGGGGCUAGCGUUGCUCGGAAUCACUGGGCGUAAAGCGCACGUAGGCGGAUCGUUAAGUCAGGGGUGAAAUCCUGGGGCUCAACCUCAGAACUGCCCUUGAUACUGGCGAUCUCGAGUUCGAGAGAGGUUGGUGGAACUCCGAGUGUAGAGGUGAAAUUCGUAGAUAUUCGGAAGAACACUAGUGGCGAAGGCGGCCAACUGGCUCGAUACUGACGCUGAGGUGCGAAAGCGUGGGGAGCAAAACAGGAUUAGAUACCCUGGUAGUCCACGCCGUAAAACGAUGGAUGCUAGCCGUUGGGGAGCUUGCUCUUCAGUGGCGCAGCUAACGCCUUAAGCAU